RNAcentral lists this transfer RNA (45 nucleotides) under Drepanolejeunea spicata. Its description in RNAcentral is "partial tRNA-Phe". It matches the Rfam family "tRNA", at positions 1 to 43 of the family's 71-position model. Rfam says of the family: Transfer RNA (tRNA) molecules are approximately 80 nucleotides in length. Their secondary structure includes four short double-helical elements and three loops (D, anti-codon, and T loops). The record is from RNAcentral. Lineage: Eukaryota; Viridiplantae; Streptophyta; Jungermanniopsida; Porellales; Lejeuneaceae.
UGCCGGGAUAGCUCAGUUGGUAGAGCAGGGGACUGAAAAUCCUCG